UGAAAACCUUCAGCUCUGUAAAAACCAAUAAAUGACUACUUGAGGUAGGAGAUAUCUGCUUACUUGAAGAUAAACAAGAUUAGUAGUUAUUAUCAAUUGACACGUUCCAAUGCAUCCAACGCUCUGGGUAACUAAGUCUUGAAACAACAACCAUCUCGGAUAUAGCUCUUGCAAUAUCACCAUCAGGCAUUAGCCCGCUAGCUCCUUCUCCAUCGAACUGUGUGAGCUCACAGAUUGAAUAAUUUCUUGCUCAUUGGAUUCAGG
This 264-nucleotide unclassified non-coding RNA is filed under the name Hevea brasiliensis (rubber tree). Lineage: Eukaryota; Viridiplantae; Streptophyta; Magnoliopsida; Malpighiales; Euphorbiaceae. The record is from RNAcentral.